This 443-nucleotide ribosomal RNA is filed under the name uncultured bacterium. Its description in RNAcentral is "bacterial SSU rRNA". It matches the Rfam family "Bacterial small subunit ribosomal RNA", at positions 335 to 767 of the family's 1533-position model. The record is from RNAcentral.
ACUCCUACGGGAGGCAGCAGUGGGGAAUAUUGGACAAUGGGCGAAAGCCUGAUCCAGCCAUGCCGCGUGUGUGAAGAAGGUCUUCGGAUUGUAAAGCACUUUAAGUUGGGAGGAAGGGCAGUUACCUAAUACGUAAUUGUUUUGACGUUACCGACAGAAUAAGCACCGGCUAACUCUGUGCCAGCAGCCGCGGUAAUACAGAGGGGUGCAAGCGUUAAUCGGAAUUACUGGGGCGUAAAGCGCGCGUAGGUGGUUUGUUAAGUUGGAUGUGAAAUCCCCGGGGCUCAACCUGGGAACUGCAUUCAAAACUGACUGACUAGAGUAUGGUAGAGGGUGGUGGAAUUUCCUGUGUAGCGGUGAAAUGCGUAGAUAUAGGAAGGAACACCAGUGGCGAAGGCGACCACCUGGACUAAUACUGACACUGAGGUGCGAAAGCGUGGGGA